Megalobrama amblycephala (Wuchang bream) is the source of this 2096-nucleotide long non-coding RNA. RefSeq lists it as uncharacterized. Lineage: Eukaryota; Metazoa; Chordata; Actinopteri; Cypriniformes; Xenocyprididae. The transcript has 2 exons. The record is from RefSeq and is a predicted model, not a curated record.
GAAGAUGAACGGAGGACUUAUGGGUUUGGAACGACAUGAGGAAAGAAGAAAGUCAUAUACAUCUAGGAUGGCUUGAGGGUGAGUAAAGCUUGGGGUAAUUUUCAUUUGAAAGUGAACUAAUCCUUUAAGUUUAUUAUUUUGACCCCAUCAGCAGAUGUUUAUAAUUGAAACUCCCUUUAUUCUGAGCAAUUCAAGACUUAAUAUCUUCAGUCAUUUUUCUUCUCCAGUAAUUGUAUCUUGAUUUAAGAAUGUUUGGAUAUUUGUGCUGGAAAACAAGGCAGAAAUACUGAGGAAGAACAUUAUUUCUUGCAGUGCAGGCAAUUCGACCAGAAUUUUUACGCAGGUAGUGGGAGAAAGACGUCGACAUUUUGGAUUCGGACGGCAAUGAAAUGACUGAGUAGACCCUGUUAAUGUUAAAAAUACCUUGAGAGUGAGAUUUUUUUAAAUGAUUAAAUCAAAACAGGACGAGUCAGAAACUAUCUGGUGAGCGCAGGAUAUUUCCCUCGGAUCUCCAGCUGUGAAGAAUCUCUCGACCGUAUCACAGAACACAGUGUUUAUACUCUCAGGACGAAUCUGAUGCACAAACCGCCUUGCUGAGACUCACAUUAUGCUCGACUUUAUGUGUGUGUGAUGUAAAUUAACCCGUCGUCAAUUCAUGAAGAUAUCUGGGGACGUUCCGCCUUUCAGCCCCUGAUACAUGGCCGUGUUCCAGAUCUGCGGGCAGAGGUCAGAGGUCUUGGGUCAGAGGUCAGUACAGGUGUGUGUGAGUUUGUACCGGUUGUCCCUGGUACCAUCUGGAAUUGUUUUUCUCACUGUUGGACAGACUGAAGGAGGCGUCAAACACGGGGUCGUACAUGUUAUUAUCCACCAGCCCAUGUGACUCGGUGUACAGGUUUGUUUUCGUGAAUUGUGGAGACAUUCCAUAGGUGUUAUGAUUUUAUACUGUACAAACCAUAUUUUCUAUCACCCAAAACAAGUAUAUUCUGUAUAUAUGCUACUACUAAUAUAAUUAUUAUGCAAGUGACAUAUGCAGGAUUUCAAUACAAUAAACGUUCAGAUUUUUGGUUUUCAAAGACAGUGUUUAUUUUAUUUCUUAUAUCUUUUUAGAUAACUUGUAUCAAUCUCAGACAGGUUUGUUAAUAGUUUGACAGGUCUUAAUGGAAAACUUCUAAAAGGUUGUUCCACAUUAUUAAGCAAGUUCUUGUGCAAUAUAGGGAAGAAGGAAGAUCUUUCUGAAGAGGAAAAGCACAAAUUUGUGCAAUGUCUAGCAAAAGGCAUAAAAACAACUAAUAAUUGGCAAAAACUGAAUAAAGAUCAAAUAUCAAACUAUCAAAAGAUUUGUGAGUGAUGUGUCACUGCCCCAUAUGCAGGGCGGUCAUUCGGGGGAGUGUGCGUGCAUUCAUGUCCUGAAGAGCAAACACACACACACACACACACACACACACACAACAACACACUCUGUUGCACUGCUGUGUUAUUAGCAAGAACCGUAUGGUCUUUUAAAGGAUAAAUAAUGCUGAAAAAUACUAUUCAAAUGGUGUAAUCAGCUUCCAAAUCAGCAUCAGAGAUCUUUAAAAAGACUUAUUACUUGAUAUUUGGCUAAACAUUAAAGCUACAGAGGUACAAAAGUCCACUUUACAUCCAAAGUUGCAAUAUGAAAUAUUAGCAUCAAUUUCACAAUGUUUUAGUAUUUCGUUUUUCCCAUGAUUGAAUGACAGCAUCACUUCAUCUGUGAGAAUAUCUGCACAAAAAUGUACUUAUUUGAUUUGUGAUUUAAAAGAAAGUGCAUAAUUUAAAUGAUUUUAUGUAAUAGAAAUCCUAAAACUGUUAAUUUUCAGGUUUAAAUGGGAUUUUAAAUCCCAGAUUUUAAAUGUGGACUUUUGGAUCCCACUGUACAUUAAAAUGUGUUACAUGCUUGUAAGUUUCUGGACAGCAGGUUGAUUUUGUGUCAUGCCAAAGUAAACAGCUUUUUGAGAAUUUAAAAUCUUAAAAACAUAAAAAUAGAGUUUAUCAUAUUGUAUAAUAAUCUUAUUUUAUUAUCAGUGUAUUGACACAUUGCACUUAUAUUUUCAUGAAUAAAAAUAAUUUGCAUUGCA